RNAcentral lists this transfer RNA (85 nucleotides) under Oleandra articulata. RNAcentral's name for it is "tRNA-Leu". It matches the Rfam family "tRNA". Rfam says of the family: Transfer RNA (tRNA) molecules are approximately 80 nucleotides in length. Their secondary structure includes four short double-helical elements and three loops (D, anti-codon, and T loops). Further hydrogen bonds mediate the characteristic L-shaped molecular structure. tRNAs have two regions of fundamental functional importance: the anti-codon, which is responsible for specific mRNA codon recognition, and the 3' end, to which the tRNAs corresponding amino acid is attached (by aminoacyl-tRNA synthetases). tRNAs cope with the degeneracy of the genetic code in two manners: having more than one tRNA (with a specific anti-codon) for a particular amino acid; and 'wobble' base-pairing, i.e. permitting non-standard base-pairing at the 3rd anti-codon position. The record is from RNAcentral. Lineage: Eukaryota; Viridiplantae; Streptophyta; Polypodiopsida; Polypodiales; Oleandraceae.
GGGGAUAUGGCGGAAUGGUAGACGCAGCGGACUCAAAAUCCGUUGGUCUCACAGGACCGUGAGGGUUCGACUCCCUCUAUCCCCA